CCCAGACUCCUACGGGAGGCAGCAGUGGGGGAUAUUGCACAAUGGGGGGAACCCUGAUGCAGCGACGCCGCGUGGGUGAAGGAGCGUUUCGGCGCGUAAAGCCCUAUCGGCAGGGAAGAAGGAGGACGGUACCUGACUAAGAAGCCCCGGCUAACUACGUGCCAGCAGCCGCGGUAAUACGUAGGGGGCAAGCGUUAUCCGGAUUUACUGGGUGUAAAGGGGGCGCAGACGGCAGCGCAAGCCAGGAGUGAAAGCCCGGGGCCCAACCCCGGGACUGCUCUUGGAACUGCGCGGCUGGAGUGCAGGAGGGGCAGGCGGAAUUCCUGGUGUAGCGGUGAAAUGCGUAGAUAUCAGGAGGAACACCGGUGGCGAAGGCGGCCUGCUGGACUGCGACUGACGUUGGGGCCCGAAAGCGUGGGGAGCAAACAGGAUUAGAUACCCUUGUAA
RNAcentral lists this ribosomal RNA (447 nucleotides) under uncultured bacterium. Its description in RNAcentral is "partial 16S ribosomal RNA". It matches the Rfam family "Bacterial small subunit ribosomal RNA", at positions 330 to 793 of the family's 1533-position model. The record is from RNAcentral.